Aphidius gifuensis is the source of this 427-nucleotide long non-coding RNA. RefSeq lists it as uncharacterized. NCBI's taxonomy places the organism in Eukaryota, Metazoa, Arthropoda, Insecta, Hymenoptera, Braconidae. The record is from RefSeq and is a predicted model, not a curated record. The transcript is spliced from 3 exons.
AUUUUAUCGGUUACUUGAUUGUUAAAAAAAGGAAAAAAAAAUGAAUUUAUUGCUUAAUUUUAUUUUUUUCAUGUUUGUAAUGAUAAACAUUGACAUUGGAAAUUCUCAUCCAACGAAUAGAAGAUCUUUGCAAGACUCUCAAACUUUUGAGUCUGUACAAUCAAGAGUUAGAAGGAUUUAUGAACCAUUCACAUUAACCGUCAAAAAACCAAGUAAACCAUCAAUAUCUACAAAUGAAGUAUUGCCAACUGAAAUAUCCACAAAUGAAAUAAUUACAACUGAAAUGUCUACAGCUGAAGUGUACAAAACUCGCAUAUCACCUAAUUCACCCAAUGUAGAAUUUUUUCCAAGUCGUGGUAAAUAAAUAAUUUAAAUAGGCUAAAAAAUAAUGAACGAGAAUUUGUAGUUAAAAAAAAACGAUAAAAAU